RNAcentral lists this ribosomal RNA (497 nucleotides) under uncultured bacterium. Its description in RNAcentral is "partial 16S ribosomal RNA". It matches the Rfam family "Bacterial small subunit ribosomal RNA", at positions 28 to 507 of the family's 1533-position model. The record is from RNAcentral.
GAUGAACGCUGGCGGCGUGCCUAAUACAUGCAAGUCGAGCGAACAGACGAGGAGCUUGCUCCUCUGACGUUAGCGGCGGACGGGUGAGUAACACGUGGAUAACCUACCUAUAAGACUGGGAUAACUUCGGGAAACCGGAGCUAAUACCGGAUAAUAUAUUGAACCGCAUGGUUCAAUAGUGAAAGACGGUUUUGCUGUCACUUAUAGAUGGAUCCGCGCCGCAUUAGCUAGUUGGUAAGGUAACGGCUUACCAAGGCAACGAUGCGUAGCCGACCUGAGAGGGUGGUCGGCCACACUGGAGCUGGGACACGGUCAAGACGCCUACGGGAGGCAGCAGUAGGGAAUCUGCCGCAAUGGGCGAAAGCCUGACGGAGCAACGCCGCGUGAGUGAUGGAGGUCUUCGGAUCGUAAAACUCUGUUAUUAGGGAAGAACAAAUGUGUAAGUAACUAUGCACGUCUUGACGGUACCUAAUCAGAAAGCCACGGCUAACUACGUG